CCUUACUCCACAUAUGGAACGCCAACAUAAGGGAAACCGAUUGAAUCGCGCGGGAAUAUGUUAAGGCCGGAGGCGCUAUAAAAAAGGAGGUUCAAUUCAACCGCUUGGCUUGCGGUGCGGCAAUGUGGAGACUUGCCGUAAUGCGCGGCGCGGCACAGCCCGCGCGUGCGAGGCGGCUUUUCGCGGAGGCGGGGCCGUCAAAGCCGGGAAACAUGGCA
RNAcentral lists this non-coding RNA (218 nucleotides) under human gut metagenome. RNAcentral describes it as "malK-I RNA". It matches the Rfam family "malK-I RNA". The record is from RNAcentral.